Molecule: long non-coding RNA, 3230 nt
Organism: Asparagus officinalis (garden asparagus)
Lineage: Eukaryota; Viridiplantae; Streptophyta; Magnoliopsida; Asparagales; Asparagaceae
Exons: 4
Source: RefSeq, a predicted model, not a curated record
UAUUAACUAAUAUAUUCAUAUUUGGUGUCUAGCAAAACCAAUGUACUAUGUUAUAUAAUUUUUCCAUAGAUGUGUAACCAAAAUUUUGGUCAGACCCUGCAGAGCUUAUUUUUCUUUUUUGUGUGAUUUAUACCUCGUGUGUGUUUGAACACACAGUUUAUAUUAAUUAUCCAAAUGAUAAUCUGUUCUGUAGUCUUUGUUGCCUUGACACAAGUCAAACCUCCAUGUAGAUAUUGGCAUAGACUUCUACUGCUUUAAUUCAACAUUAGCACACUGUUAACCUAUAGUGACAUAGAUGAAUUUAUGAUCUUGUUAACCUAUAGUGACUUCAGUUUAUACAUGUUUUACUUUGACAAAUGCAUCCUCGUUAUCACUAUUCAUAACUUGUUAAUACUGCAAUGGUAGCUACUUAAACAAGUGAUCUAUAUUAUUCUUCUCUUAGCUAGUUUUUAUUAUCUAUUUUUCAUGUAUCUAGUACUUAUGUGAUUCUUUUCAUUUAUUACUAGUUAAUCACUUCUCUUUGAGCGAUGGAAACAGUGGGUGAUUCUAGAUCAAGUUCAAAAGAGAAGAGAUCAUUUGAGGUAAUUUCAAAUCUAGAAUUCUCAAUCCUAAAUUGUUUGGGAUUCUCAUCUUCUAAAUAUUUUUUCCCUUUUGUCUCAGCAUGUUUUAUUUUAUUUUGUUUGGUGAAUGAAAAGAAAAAGUCAGAAAUUAAUUAUGACCUAGAAUAGAAGUGGAACUGGAGAAUUAUCCUUCAUCCUUCCUGUUAUUAUCGUUCAACUCUUAACAAAAUUUAUGGAAAUUGGGAGAAGGUUUUUAGAGAAUUUUCUUUGAGAUAAUUGAGAAAGAAGUCUAUCAAUAGAAAAAUAAUAAAUAUUUUUCAAAUUAGGUUGAAAUUCAUAAAUAAGUCAGCGGGUGCUUCGACCAGUAUCUGAAAUUCUAAAAGUGGACAAGGGUCAUAAUGAAAGAACUAUAACAUAGUCCUCCUGUAUUUUCCUGAGAAUCAGAUGAAGAAGAUAAAGUUUCUUUGUUAGGAAAAAGAAACCGCCUUUUUUAUUAAUGGCCCUUUGACUCGUGUCAUGCAAUUAUAUCAGGAUUCAGGACAGAUUAUCUUCCAAGUCAAAUUGUAAUUACGUAGUUAACGCAACUGAGUUACUUGGAGAAAAAAAAAUGGUUCCAGCUAUUUUUGGUCAUGGUCAUUACUUGCUCUUAAGUGCCUCGCAAGUAUAUAGGCAUGAAAGGAAUUUCACCAUCAUCUUGUUGCAUCAGGUUGGCUUCAGAUCGGUUGUUGACUUACGCUUGAACAUUGCACCCUAUAAAUCGAUAAUGAGUUUUCUUGUUUUUGUAUCUUGCAGAAGUCUGAUAGUAUCACAUUUGCCUGAGUCUAAACACAAUUUGUUAGUAAUUUCUUUGUGUUUUUUCACUAGAUGUGAGUUUUUUCUUGAGAUGUAUAGAUCGUUGGAAGGCUGUAGAAUUUGUUCCGGGACAUUGAAUACAAACAUGCUAUUUCUUGAAAACAAGAGGUAAAGUCAAAAAAAUGUUAUCUUCUGUGAACUGGUUCAAAUUAUGCUUGUUUAUGAUAGUUUAUUAUUUCAAUGAAUAUGUUUAUUUUCCGGAUUGCUCACAUAUAUUUGUUUCAUGGAUUGGAGUUCUCCUUAGGUAGUUAAGUAGGUUGUUCUUCAAACACAGGUAAAAACCGAUCUUCUCGUUUGUAUCAAAACUGCAUCUCAGUUUUGCAUGAAAACAUAUGAUUGAUGUUGAAUUAGAAAAUAUGAGUUCACUGGUUAGCAUGUGAAUCAUUGUAUGUGCACAUGCAAAUUGGUUUAUCUUAAGUUAUAGAGGGAAUGUGUAGAGUUUAUAGUGUCCAGAUUGUUGUUUAACAUGUAAACAAACUUUAGUAUAUCAUGUAAACAAACUUUCAAGGUCUACUCUUUUAUGACUGGAUAAAAUAGCUUCAUCUAUUUUUUGCCUAUAUAUUAUCUUGCAUUUGAAUAACUAAUAAUCAGAGUUGAAAGAGUAUUAUGAAUCAUAAUAUAUUAGGUCUGUGAAAUAAAAUAUAAAUCUAAUGUCAAACAAUUCUCUUGAUCUGAAUGAACUAUGUAGUUGCUCAAAAGGAAGCUUAUGGUAUCUGCCAAGUAUUAUUCAAGCACAUGUUGUACGAACUGUUCAAUUAUGGUAGGUUUUAGGGUUUAUCCCUCGAGUUGUUUCAGAUAACUCUUUGGGCUUUUUGUGAAUUUGAGGGGAAAAAGGUAGCAUCUUGUCGGAUAUGUUCUUUACACCUUGCUAUAUCAAUGCUAAAAGAAUUUUUUUUUACUUGCCCCAUAAAUCAUUGUGUGUCUGUAUAAUUAUCACCUUUGACUUUUGCGUACUUGAUCUAUCAAAGUGUUUCAAAGAGUGUUUUUUUUCUUCUUGUCCUUUGUGCAAUUUCAGACGCAUCUUAAUAGUUCUACAUACAUUUCCCCCUUGAACUUUCAAUGUAGUGGAUUCAGGGGCCGGAGUGAUGGUGGCAGAGGCCGAGGAAGAUGAGGUAGAGGCCGAGGUGGUCCUGAAGGCCGGGGUGGUGGUGGAAGAGGACGCGGUGCUGGUCGAGGUGGUGGUGGAAGAGGGCGUGGUGGAGGUCGCGGUGGUGGCUGUGGAGGUGGAAUGAAAGGGAGGAAGCGAAGUAGUGGUUCAGCCGCAUUGGCAUGAUGGAGUCUUUGUUGCCAAGGGGAAGGAAGAUGCCCUUUGUACCAAGAACAUGGUUGUCGGUGAAUCCGUUUAUGGUGAGAAGCGCGUUGCUAUGCAGGUGUUUAAAAGAAUCCUCAAAGCAUAUGCAACAAAACUUUAUUCUCGAUUACCCAAGGGGGGUUCAGGGCUAGUUGCAGCUGCUACUGGUACAAAUGGGCAAAUCAAGGUUAUAUAAGCACUCUUUUACUUGUUGCUUGUUCCUAGUGAGUAUUUGACAGGUUCCUAGUGAAAUUGGCGAAAUUGGCGAUUGAGGCUGACAGGUUCCUAGUGAGUAUUUAACAUUGAGGCAUAAGUUUUUGGAAACAAAUAGAGGAUAUAAAGUCUUUGACCGAGAAGUUUCAUGUUUUGUAAUCAAAUGUUGAUGUUGUUUGAAUAUUAGUUCGGUACGAUAUUUUCUGAGCUGAAAUGUUGGUAGUGUGGAUUUUAUAUUUUGUAGUUUUUAUACUAUACCGAUGUAUGUUGGCACUUAUCAUUAUGGUUGAUUAUGCUCAACAUUUUCACUUUGA